GAUGAACGCUGGCGGCGUGCUAAUACAUGCAAGUCGAACGCUGGAGAUCUAGCUUGCUAGAUCGAAGGAGUGGCGAACGGGUGAGUAAUACAUAAGCAACCUACCCACGAAGACUGGGAUAAUCUCUGGAAACGGGGACUAAUACCGGAUAGGUAAUCGGAAGGCAUCUUCUGGUUAUUAAAGGUUAAAAACACUGGUGGAUGGGCUUAUGGCGCAUUAGUUAGUUGGUGAGGUAACGGCCCACCAAGACGAUGAUGCGUAGCCGGCCUGAGAGGGUGAACGGCCACAUUGGGACUGAGACACGGCCCAGACUCCUACGGGAGGCAGCAGUAGGGAAUUUUCGGCAAUGGGGGCAACCCUGACCGAGCAACGCCGCGUGAGUGAAGACGGCCUUCGGGUUGUAAAGCUCUGUUGUAAGGGAAGAACGGUAGAUAGAGAAUAUCUAAGUGACGGUACCUUACCAGAAAGCCACGGUAA
This 477-nucleotide ribosomal RNA is filed under the name Solobacterium moorei. RNAcentral's name for it is "bacterial SSU rRNA". It matches the Rfam family "Bacterial small subunit ribosomal RNA", at positions 28 to 499 of the family's 1533-position model. Lineage: Bacteria; Bacillati; Bacillota; Erysipelotrichia; Erysipelotrichales; Erysipelotrichaceae. The record is from RNAcentral.